This is a long non-coding RNA of Rana temporaria (common frog), 579 nucleotides long. RefSeq lists it as uncharacterized. NCBI's taxonomy places the organism in Eukaryota, Metazoa, Chordata, Amphibia, Anura, Ranidae. The transcript has 2 exons. The record is from RefSeq and is a predicted model, not a curated record.
UUGCUCUUGCUGUACAUUCCAUAUAUGCUCAACCCUAUGUUAUUUGCUGUGGGAGGAUUCCUUGCUGCCCCUUCUUGUGUGCGCUUUACUGCCGCCUCAGCUCCCGAGACGGACAUAUCCCUUUGGCCGUGGCUCCAUGUAUACCGCAUUCACUUAUUUUUGAUUCCAUAUAAGCCAAGCAUCUGCCCCUGAAGAGUGUGACACACACGAAACGCGUCGGGCCAAUACGGAUGCUAUAUAUACUUUAUUAUAAUAUUCUAAUUGAUCUGAUUAUAUUUAUACAUGCUUUUACCAGUCGUUUUUACCUUUACAUAUUCGCCUAGACUGUUACCUUGACAUCUGUACAUAUGUAUAUUCACCCUAUGCACUCAUUAAUCCAUGCGGAUGAUCAUGUGACAUCCGGUCAAGCAUUGUUGUAUCUCUGCUACCCCCAUUGUAUCUGCACAUAUUAUGUGCUCUAAUAUGUGGUAAUGUCAUUUAUUUCUGAAAUGUAUGUUUUUCAUUUACAUGACCUCUGGAUGUUGAUAGGUGUUUUGCAAAUGUGUGACCAAUAAAUCUGUACGUUUUUUACUACCCGCA